CUCUUGUAAAGAACCGUUAAUCAGUUGUCCUGAUGAAUUCAUGCGUCUUAUCGAUUGUUCUCGCAAACAGCUUAAACUUUAAUUAAAUAUUGGAAGUGCAGCCUUUUGUUUGCAGUAUGCAAUGGUUACCUCCCUUACUUCAGUUUUGAAAAUGUCCCAAGUAACUCUAGGAUCAUUAUUUUUGGUUAAAUCUGUUGUUUGGCAGAGAUAUUGCAUUGUGCAUUUGCACUAAUUUACUUUUUGGAGUUUCAUGAUACAUAAAUAGGAGCAAUUUUAAUUUUGUUUUGUGACGACUGUGAUUUUGGAU
Molecule: long non-coding RNA, 307 nt
Organism: Mytilus californianus (California mussel)
Lineage: Eukaryota; Metazoa; Mollusca; Bivalvia; Mytilida; Mytilidae
Exons: 3
Source: RefSeq, a predicted model, not a curated record